UGACGGUACCUGACUAAGAAGCACCGGCUAAAUACGUGCCAGCAGCCGCGGUAAUACGUAUGGUGCAAGCGUUAUCCGGAUUUACUGGGUGUAAAGGGAGCGCAGGCGGUGCGGCAAGUCUGAUGUGAAAGCCCGGGGCUCAACCCCGGUACUGCAUUGGAAACUGUCGUACUAGAGUGUCGGAGGGGUAAGCGGAAUUCCUAGUGUAGCGGUGAAAUGCGUAGAUAUAUGGAGGAACACCGGUGGCGAAAGCGGCUCUCUGGUCUGUAACUGACGCUGAGGCUCGAAAGCGUGGGGAGCGAACAGGAUUAGAUACCCUGGUAGUCCACGCCGUAAACGAUGAGUGCUAGGUGUUGGAUCCUUUCCGGGAUUCAGUGCCGCAGCUAACGCAUUAAGCACUCCGCCUGGGGAGUACGACCGCAAGGUUGAAACUCAAAGGAAUUGACGGGGGCCCGCACAAGCGGUGGAGCAUGUGGUUUAAUUCGAAGCAACGCGAAGAACCUUACCAGGUCUUGACAUCCCGAUGCUAUUUCUAGAGAUAGAAAGUUACUUCGGUACAUCGGUGACAGGUGGUGCAUGGUUGUCGUCAGCUCGUGUCGUGAGAUGUUGGGUUAAGUCCCGCAACGAGCGCAACCCCUAUUGUUAGUUGCCAUCAUUCAGUUGGGCACUCUAGCGAGACUGCCGGUAAUAAACCGGAGGAAGGUGGGGAUGACGUCAAAUCAUCAUGCCCCUUAUGACCUGGGCUACACACGUGCUACAAUGGUUGGUACAACGAGUUGCGAGUCGGUGACGGCAAGCUAAUCUCUUAAAGCCAAUCUCAGUUCGGAUUGUAGGCUGCAACUCGCCUACAUGAAGUCGGAAUCGCUAGUAAUCGCGGAUCAGCACGCCGCGGUGAAUACGUUCCCGGGCCUUGCACUCACCGCCCGUCA
RNAcentral lists this ribosomal RNA (929 nucleotides) under uncultured bacterium. RNAcentral describes it as "bacterial SSU rRNA". It matches the Rfam family "Bacterial small subunit ribosomal RNA", at positions 470 to 1399 of the family's 1533-position model. The record is from RNAcentral.